Long non-coding RNA from Papaver somniferum (opium poppy), 2326 nucleotides. RefSeq lists it as uncharacterized. The record is from RefSeq and is a predicted model, not a curated record. NCBI's taxonomy places the organism in Eukaryota, Viridiplantae, Streptophyta, Magnoliopsida, Ranunculales, Papaveraceae. The transcript is spliced from 10 exons.
UUCUCAACUUUUUUUUUUUUUUUUUUUUUCUUGUUGUUCUUCGCUUUUUUUUUCUUCUCAAUAGCAUGAACUGAGAAAUCCAAUUAAGAAGAAAUCUGGAGAAGUAAAUGGAUCAGGAAGGUGUUACUGAGGCUGUGAAUUUGGUUUUGGUUAGGGUUAUUAUUGAUUGAAGAACGAUGAAUCAGUAAGAAAUAAAAUUAAGGUUUAUGCAGUUAGUAUUGAGUUUGUGCAAAAUCGAAGGAGGGAUUGGUAGAUUGAAUAAUAAAAGGAGGAGAUGGUGGAGUUGUAUUAACUCGGGUUAUAGAGGAUAGGGUAAAUCAGAGAAAGGAAGUUAGGGCUUGGAAAUUGAUUUAAGGUUCAAUUUAGUGAUAGAUGAGAAGAUAUCAAAGACUGGGUUUGGUGGUUUGAGAAGUGAAUCGAUGUUUUGAACUCUGAUUAGAGAGAAGAAGGAAUUGGGAAUUAUUUUCAGGUUCUGAAUAUAGAUGAUGGUCAUUGAAGAUGAAAUCGAUGGUUAGUGUUCAAAGUGAUGAUUCAUAAGCUCAAUUGAGGAAAAACAAGGAAUCAAGAUCAACUAAUUCAUUCUAGGAAUUUGAUUUAAGGUUUUGAUGUGGGGCUUGAAACGAUUCCAAGAUGACUAAGAGUGUAAUCACUGAGAAGUAUGAAGAAAAUCAUGCUCCAAUGGAAGUCUUAGAAAGGGGAGAUUUAGAAGAGAAUGGUACUGAUAAUAAUCUUUCAAUCUUAGAGAUCACUAUUCGUGACCAGCUGAAUGGAGACAAGUUCUCUGAAAUCAUAUAUGGUCUGCGAAACCAGGUCAGAUUCGUGGGGGGCAUCUUCCUCAAAUUUUGGUCAAAAUAACGAGAAAAUGAGGCAUUGAAAAAUAAAAUUAAUAUGCUGAAAGAGCAUCAGGUUGAUAUGCAAAAUAAUAUGCAAGAAGAUCACAUUCAGGUUGAUGCCCUAUUGCUACUACUAGUUGGCGGGAUAUCCUCCCACAGCCAGAGCCAUAGAACUACGAUCCUGCUAUACAUAUUCAAAGUAAUUUUUUGUUUUUUAUUAGUACAAAUGAUUAUUUAGGUAAUCGUUAUUUUACUUUUUUUUUGUUGCUUUGAUUACGAAAUCCUUUCAUGAUUAUUUAGACACUUUUAAACCUUUACUUCCACCAAUUUUCUAUCUGAAUGAUAACCCUUGUAUGCACAACUCUACCGUCGGUUAUCGAUUAAAUUUUUUGCUUAUUGAGAUCUGAAUUAGAAGUAUUGGAAAACAAGCUUAAUUGUUGUAUAAAGGUUAGAGAGAAAUAAAAUGGGAGAGUAUAACUUGUAAAGAAUUCACAAGUUGCAUUGCUGAGCUCCUUAUGUAUUUGUGUAUGGGCUCUCUAACCAGUUUAUCGUCACCAUCUGCACAACCACUUCACCUGUAUUAGAGAAUGGUGCUAGUGGAUGGUUAGAUGAGACUGAAAUGGUGUUGCAGCUACAGAUGGGUGCAAAUGCACAGAAGUUGUUGUUGCAGUUGCAAGUGGUGGCUGAGUCAGGUAGUGCUUAGUAUGAUUGUGAGCUACGGGUAUUAGCACCGGUCACAAUGGCUGUGCGAAAGCUGCUCAAACUGUUAGAGCACCACAUGCUGAUCACUGUAGGCGUCAUUAUGAAGCUGGUGACAGACCAGCAAGAUUCAGUGGUGCAAUGGAAUACUUCAUGCAAUGAAAGGGGAUAUCGGGAAUUAAGACUCUAUUAGAGGUGCAAAUGGGAAACCACAUAUCAAUCAUUCUGUCACUAGAGGAUUUUGUAAACAACUACUUGCUAAUGCACUAGCUAAUUUGGAGAAUCACAAUAAGUAUGCUCUUGGUAAGAAGGAACCCAUUGUGGACAUUGAUGGAGGAGAUGUUGAUAAUCAGUUGGCAGUUGUGUACAUCGAGGAUUUGUACAAAUAUUACAAGCUUGCGGAGGAAAUAGUAGAACUUCUGUCAGCCUGUCCCGCCAUUGCUGGUUUAGGAGAAGAUAAUAAGCCCUUUAUCUGCACAAUGGAUUCAAUUGGUUCCAAAGAAUUGGAGGUGUGGGGCUUACUAUACACGAAGAACUUACUGGACAAGGAUCUUUCGAGCAAUAAUUUUUCAGGACAGGUGCCAUCUUCUAUUGCUGAUCUAGAGCAUCCGCUUACCUUGUAAGUAAAACUCCUUGCUCCGAGGAGUUGGUUCAGUUUCCUAUUAUGAACUCCUUAUAAGGCCCUGAUUUUUAUUUGUGUUGCGAAAACUAUUGUUGUAUACUUAAGAGUUCCAGACCUCGGUGUUCUAUCUCAAUUAAUUACAACAUCUAAGUAUACAGUUUAUUGUGUGUCA